Molecule: ribosomal RNA, 477 nt
Filed under: uncultured bacterium
Lineage: Bacteria
Description: partial 16S ribosomal RNA
Rfam family: Bacterial small subunit ribosomal RNA
Source: RNAcentral
AUGAACGCUGGCGGCGUGCCUAACACAUGCAAGUCGAACGGAGUCCAGCCUUUAAGACCUUCGGGUCAAAGAGGGGAAGACUGAGUGGCGGACGGGUGAGUAACACGUGGGCAACCUGGCUCAUAGAGGGGGAUAACAGAGAGAAAUUUCUGCUAAUACCGCAUAAGCACACACUGCCGCAUGGCAGAGGGUGAAAAGAGAAUCGCUAUGAGAUGGACCCGCGUCUGAUUAGCCAGUUGGCAGGGUAAGAGCCUACCAAAGCGACGAUCAGUAGCCGAUCUGAGAGGAUGAACGGCCACAUUGGGACUGAGACACGGCCCAGACUCCUACGGGAGGCAGCAGUGGGGGAUAUUGCACAAUGGGGGGAACCCUGAUGCAGCGACGCUGCGUGAGUGAAGAAGUAUUUCGGUAUGUAAAGCUCUAUCAGCAGGGAAGAUAAUGACAGUACCUGAAUAAGAAGCCCCGGCUAACUACGUG